This 404-nucleotide ribosomal RNA is filed under the name uncultured Methanosaeta sp. RNAcentral describes it as "bacterial SSU rRNA". It matches the Rfam family "Archaeal small subunit ribosomal RNA", at positions 935 to 1338 of the family's 1478-position model. Lineage: Archaea; Methanobacteriati; Methanobacteriota; Methanomicrobia; Methanotrichales; Methanotrichaceae. The record is from RNAcentral.
ACCGACAGCAAUACGAAGGCCAGGCUGAAGACUUUGCCGGAUUAGCUGAGAGGUGGUGCAUGGCCGUCGUCAGUUCGUACUGUGAAGCAUCCUGUUAAGUCAGGCAACGAGCGAGACCCACGCCCACAGUUGCCAGCGUACUCUCUGGAGUGACGGGUACACUGUGGGGACCGCCGCUGCUAAAGCGGAGGAAGGAAUGGGCAACGGUAGGUCAGUAUGCCCCGAAUAUCCCGGGCUACACGCGAGCUACAAUGGUUGGUACAAUGGGUAUCUACCCCGAAAGGGGACGGGAAUCUCCUAAAACCAAUCUUAGUUCGGAUUGAGGGCUGCAACUCGCCCUCAUGAAGCUGGAAUCCGUAGUAAUCGCGUUUCAACAGAACGCGGUGAAUACGUCCCUGCUCCUU